This 495-nucleotide ribosomal RNA is filed under the name uncultured bacterium. Its description in RNAcentral is "partial 16S ribosomal RNA". It matches the Rfam family "Bacterial small subunit ribosomal RNA", at positions 28 to 507 of the family's 1533-position model. The record is from RNAcentral.
GACGAACGCUGGCGGCGUGCCUAAUACAUGCAAGUAGAACGCUGAAGGAGGAGCUUGCUUCUCUGGAUGAGUUGCGAACGGGUGAGUAACGCGUAGGUAACCUGCCUUGUAGCGGGGGAUAACUAUUGGAAACGAUAGCUAAUACCGCAUAAGAGUAGAUGUCGCAUGACAUUUGCUUAAAAGGUGCAAUUGCAUCACUACCAGAUGGACCUGCGUUGUAUUAGCUAGUUGGUGAGGUAACGGCUCACCAAGGCAACGAUACAUAGCCGACCUGAGAGGGUGAGCAGCCAGACUGGGAGUGAGACACGGCCCAGACUGCUACGGGAGGCAGCAGUAGGGAAUCGUCGGCAAUGGACGGAAGUCUGACCGAGAAACGCCGAGUGAGUGAAGAGGGUUGUCGGAUCGUAAAGCUCUGUUGUAAGAGAAGAACGAGUGUGAGAGUGGAAAGUUCACACUGUGACGGUAUCUGACCAGAAAGGGACGGCUAACUACGUG